UUAAAGGUCCUUUUCAGGGCCACUACAUGUUUUGUGAAGGAGGUAA
Molecule: non-coding RNA, 46 nt
Organism: Rattus norvegicus (Norway rat)
Lineage: Eukaryota; Metazoa; Chordata; Mammalia; Rodentia; Muridae
Source: Rfam